UGCCAGACUCCUACGGGAGGCAGCAGUGAGGAAUAUUGGUCAAUGGCCGAGAGGCUGAACCAGCCAAGUCGCGUGAGGGAUGACGGCCCUACGGGUUGUAAACCUCUUUUGUCGGGGAGCAAAGAGGCCUCGUGAGGUCAAAAGCGAGAGUACCCGGAGAAAAAGCAUCGGCUAACUCCGUGCCAGCAGCCGCGGUAAUACGGAGGAUGCGAGCGUUAUCCGGAUUUAUUGGGUUUAAAGGGUGCGUAGGCGGGAUGCCAAGUCAGCGGUAAAAAUGCGGUGCUCAACGCCGUCGAGCCGUUGAAACUGGCGUUCUUGAGUGGGCGAGAAGUAUGCGGAAUGCGUGGUGUAGCGGUGAAAUGCAUAGAUAUCACGCAGAACUCCGAUUGCGAAGGCAGCAUACCGGCGCCCUACUGACGCUGAGGCACGAAAGCGUGGGUAUCGAACAGGAUUAGAUACCCUGGUA
Molecule: ribosomal RNA, 466 nt
Filed under: uncultured bacterium
Lineage: Bacteria
Description: bacterial SSU rRNA
Rfam family: Bacterial small subunit ribosomal RNA
Source: RNAcentral